AUGGACAGGACAAACGUCGCGGCCGCUGCCCCGCCGCCCGUACCCAUGGCGGCGCCCGUCGUCCCGGUCGAUCUGACGGUCGUCAAGAAGCUCCUCGGAGGCGGCGGCGACCUGGCGGUCCACGACGCGUCUGGCGGUCUCGCCUUUCGCGUCACGGCGGCGGACGGUUGUGGCAGGAGGUGCGGAGGGAGGGCGCUCCUCGACGCCUCCGGGAGCACUCUGGUCACUGCCAGGACCAGCGAGGGUGCGUGGCAGGCAUUCAGAGGAAUUAGUUGGGAACAGAAAGACAUAAUUUUUUCAACAAAGGUAAUGUGUGCUUCUUCAGAUCGAAAGGAGGUACAUGUCUUUGUCCCGCCGAGAAGCACAUCUGAGGAGCAAAAACCAAGCUACAUACUCGUAGGAAAUCCAUCUCGAAGAGCAUGCACGAUUAUAAGGGGAAACUCCAUUGUUGCUCAGACAAAUCUCCCGUACAAACUCAAUAAGGCCGUCUAUUCAAGGCGGAAGUUUAGGGUGACGAUUUACCCAGGAAACGAUAACAUUCUGAUCAUGGCAAUGGUUAUGACCUUCCUUGUUCAAAAAUAA
RNAcentral lists this ribosomal RNA (582 nucleotides) under Triticum aestivum (bread wheat). RNAcentral's name for it is "partial small subunit ribosomal RNA". The record is from RNAcentral. Lineage: Eukaryota; Viridiplantae; Streptophyta; Magnoliopsida; Poales; Poaceae.